Molecule: long non-coding RNA, 334 nt
Filed under: Equus asinus (donkey)
Lineage: Eukaryota; Metazoa; Chordata; Mammalia; Perissodactyla; Equidae
Description: lncRNA (ENSEASG00005025535.1)
Source: RNAcentral
CUCAUUGUUAGGUUGUGUGGACACUCAGGCAGCCCUCUGGAGAGAUCCACGUGGCAAGGAGCAAAGGGUUCCUGUCAACAACCAACAUUAACUUGCCAGGCAUGUGGGUGAGCCACUUGGAAUGGGAUCCUUCAGCCUCAGUCAAGAUAUCAGGAUUGGCCUCGAAGUCCUUCGACGUCCCUUCCAGCUCUCUAACAUUCCAUGAUUCGGUGACUAGAUCACCUUUGCAGCCGUGUUAACUGGGUUCGCAAGCGAGCUUCCUCGGUUCAGCAGAAAUUUCUUCCUAAGCUUCCCGCAGCCACCGGAGGCCGACAUCACGCGCCAGUCAGCGCCG